This 70-nucleotide transfer RNA is filed under the name Ictidomys tridecemlineatus (thirteen-lined ground squirrel). Its description in RNAcentral is "Spermophilus tridecemlineatus (thirteen-lined ground squirrel) tRNA". It matches the Rfam family "tRNA". Rfam says of the family: Transfer RNA (tRNA) molecules are approximately 80 nucleotides in length. Their secondary structure includes four short double-helical elements and three loops (D, anti-codon, and T loops). Lineage: Eukaryota; Metazoa; Chordata; Mammalia; Rodentia; Sciuridae. The record is from Rfam by way of RNAcentral. RNAcentral also lists the same sequence under 1 other name.
GGGGAUAUAACUCAGUGGUAGAGUACUGGCCUAGUAUGUUUGAGACCCUGGGAUCAAAUUCCCAGUACCA